AAAAGCAGCGACUGCCUCUAGAGCUGAGAUGUUGAACCCGAGGAAGAACCUACACACCCCUUACAGAGCUGACAUCCAGCCUGAGAGGACACAGCCAUGGCUCACUAGAUGGUGCACGAGUCACCGAGGUGCCACGACAGGUGAAUUUGCUGGAAAUCUUUCUUUUCAGUACUGAAGAAGCCAUCCGUAGGGAGGAUCCUAAGUUGUACCACUUAGCACAGCCAAGGAGGCGCCAGUUCUCCACAGCUAUGGCAUUUGAGGGAGUAAUGAAAAAAGCUAGCCGCAAGGAGAUGCUGCACGUUGGUAUUCAUGGCAAAACAACCCCAAGAGUCUGCUGUUCUCAGGGAACUAUGUCACUGGUAUUUAGCACUAGAUUACAAAGCCACUCUCACAGUUUUGGAGGAAGCCAUCUACAAGGAGGUGUCAGGCUUUCUGGAUAGCUGAGGGCACAGCAUCAACAGGAGCAUGGACAGACAGACCUCAAAUGGACACGUGGAUGGUACAGAAUCAUUGAGAUCAUAGCACAAAACUGCGGGCAGAAGCCUGGUGAGAGGAGCACACUGGGACCAAGAAGGGAAACUCUUCUUCCUCCAGUUUCCCUCUAGUACCAUAUACUGAUGAAAACUUAAAAACAUGCAGGUUGGCAAAGGAAAAACAUAAAGCCUGUCUCCAUUAGUGCAGAGCAGGCAGUGGAGUGUGGAUUCAGAUUUGACAAGCACUGUAUUUGAAAUUGACACAAUGUACUUGUUUCAUGACACUUGGAACAAAUGAGAAUUUCUUAGAAGACACAAAUCACUUCUUAUCCUUCCUUUUAUGCCCAGAAAUGUUUUGAAUACAAAUGGUAUCAGAAUUUAACAAAAAGCUUCAAAGGGAAAAGGAAGCAGUGUUUUUGGAUAUGAAGCUUGAAUAUGCUAAAAUUACAGAUAAUUUAUAUGAGUAUCUUCUAAAGAAAGAUGGAUAGGAGUUCCCUGGUGGCCUGGUGGUUAAGGCCUCAGGGUUGCCACUGCUGUGACUUGGGUUAUAAACACGGCUCAGGUUUGUUAUCUGGCCUGGGAACUUAUAUAUGCCGCAGGUACAACCAAAAAAAAAAAGAAAAGGAAAAAAAUUUGAUGAAAAUUUGAUAUUAAAAGGGCUUAGGCACUUGACUCAGGAAUGUAGAUUUAAAUUUUACUAUUAUUCACCUUCUAUCUGGAAAAACAACUUACCUUAAAAGCUUAGAUACUUUUAAAAAGAAGAGAUUCUAAUAAUACUACCUGAUGCAAAGUUUCUUUGGAUUUAGUGCAAUAGUGCAUUAAACAUACUCAGUAACAGUCACAAAGCUCUGCUUGUGUUUAAAAUGAGGACAAAUAACUUUGAAAUGAAUAAAUACAUUUAAUUUUCAGGAUAGGUAGGGAUAUAAUAUACCUAUACUUUCAAUUCAUUUCUCCCUUUUGAGGUCCAUAAGUUUGUAUAUGACCUAGCCGUUUGUCAUGUACUUUAGAACCGCAUUUAUUGUCUUUCCUCUGAAAUAUUCUUCCAUUUUUAAACCAUUUUUGAUCAUGUUUCUGACUUUGACCAAAUUAUGCAGUUCAGGGACUUGGAAGUCAUAGUGGAUCUCACAUCUAGCCACAUUCAGCAUCUAAUUGGUCACUAAAUCAUAUUUAUUCUAUCUACUUAAACUCAAUACAUUCUCUUCUUCUUAAUCACUCUUCGAGCUUUAUUUCUAAAUAAUAGCAAUAACAUCUUUUUGACUAUUAAUUGAAUUUAUUGUCUAGUUUAUACCUUUCAAAAUAAUAAUCUGAUCAAAUUACUCCUCUCCUGAAAACUUUUAAUGCCAUUCCCCCAGUGACACCAAUACCCUAUUACCUAGAGGAUAAAACCCAUACUCUUUAGGAUGAUGUACAAGGAGUUCUAGCCCCAACCUGUCUAGCCAUAUUUCUCUUUAUUCCUCAUAAAUAUAUAAUGCUAAGUCUCUAAUAAAUCACUAACUAUUCCUUUAAAUUGCCAUGAUUUUUCAUGCAUUCAUAUUUUGCAAAAUGCAUUUAUUCUAUCUAGCAUAAUGCAUAAUACUGUUUGAUUUGUAUCAAAAAAUUUUGUAACUUGUAGAUGGCUUACCACAUGUGUGAUAAUCUGCUAAAUUCUUCACAUGUAUUAUCUAAAUGCUAUAGCAGAUCUAUGAGGAAAUAGAUACAGUGAAGUAACAUAUAAUGUCCCAGUUACGAUAUUAUGAACAGUAAAGCCGGGGCAGGAAUAUGAUUGACACUAAAAUCUAUGCAAUCAAAAAAAGUUACGAAACUACUUUAAUCAUAUUUAUUGGUGUGAAAUCUUUUCUGACCUGUCUGCACAUAAGAUAUUGAUAAUCAUCCUGACUUUUAUGUCAUAACUAAGUCCAAACCUGUCUCUGUUAUCUCAAGUAUCACACAGAAAUUUAUUUGUGGUUUUUAUGUCUGUCAUUCCCAUGAGACCGGUAUGGGAUAAGGUUAUUGCCCAAAGUAUAGUUAGUUCUCUAUAUAUUAUAUUUGAAUUCAUAAGUGAAUUAAUGAUACAAAUUCUACCUUCUAUUUUGUGUUCUAGUUAGCUAAUGCAAGAGAUACUGGAAGUGUCAUUAAUUUUAUCUGUUACCUUUGCAUUCAGAAAGCAUUUUGGAAGGAAAGAAACAUCUGUAGUACAUGUUAGAAGAUGAUGAUGAGAUUUUGACAGGUGGAGGCAGAGCAGAAACGACAUUCCAAACUUAAGGUCUAACAUAAUAAGAGCCAUUUAGUCUAGUCUAAAUGAAUAGCGAAUCAUCAGAUUUGAUGUAUUGCUUACAUAUGAUCUUGCUCUGACUUAUUAGCUGUUUAUUUAUCUUUCAGGAUGUAGGCGAGUAGCAAGUAUAUACAGAAGUCAGGGGAACAUUUCUCACAUUAACCUGAUGAGAGGCUAGCCCGUUGGAUUCCCUCUCCCCACCCAGAAUCAAAGAGCCUCCUCGGAACUGGCCUUUCACUCUUUCCGUCUCUCUUGGCUGAGUGAGGCUCGUGUGAAGUUUAUAUAAGAUGUGUGAACGCAGUGAAUUUGUUUUUCCUCUAGAAGCUCUCGUUUUACAGUACAUUUGCAGUUUGAAGCAUGUUCUUUACAUAAAUGUCUUUGAAGCUACAACACGUAUAUUUCAUGUCUGUGAUUUUAUAUGCUUUAUAAUACCCUUCAUAGUAAUUCUACAAGGUACAUUUUCCUUUUUUAAUGAAGAAAUUUAUGCUGCAAAAGUCUCAUGUUCACUAUUUGUAGCUAAUCAUUGUGAUAGGUUGGUAAUUCAAAACCAUUUAUUUCUGUCUUACACCAAAGCCUUUGUUUUUUCAACCAGGCAACUCCAUCUUUCAGUAUGAGCACAGGUUCUGAGGGUAAGAAACCAUAUUGCAUAUUCUGACAAUGAACUACAAAACAGACAAUUUUGGUCAAAUCUGAGAUUCUCAGUGUUGUUUGUGCAUUAGAAUCACCUGGGGAGGUUUUAAAAUUUAUGCUCAGAUUGAACCAUAAUCUUCCAUCACAGACAAAUCAAAUCAUGGUCUCUGGGAUCAGAGACAUAUAAUCAAAAGGUUAAAUUCCUGGGUGAUUCUCAUAUUCAUCCAAUACUGAGAACACUACACUGAAGUGAAGAACAUGUGUACAGAGAAGAGUAUUUAAAAACAUGACUAUUAGGAGUUCCCGUCGUGAAGCAGUGGUUAGUGAAUCCGACUAGGAACUAUGAGGUUGUGGGUUCGAUCCCUGGCCUUGCUCAGUGGGUUAAGGAUCCGGCGUUGCUGUGAGCUGUGGUAUAGGUCGCAGACAUGGCUCCGAUCCUAUGUUACUGUGGCUCUGACGUAGGCCAGUGGCUACAGCUCCGAUUAGACCCCUACCCUGGGAACCUCCAUAUGCUGGCGGAGCAGCCCUAGAAAAGGCAAAAAGACAAAUAAACAAACAAAUAAAUAAAUAAAAACAUGACUAUUAGAAUCAGGUCUACAGUAAAGAAUCCUAGCUGCCUUACUUAAUAAUAACUCUGUCACCAUAGGCUAAUUACUCAAGUCUACAUUUAUUCGCCCAUAAGAUAGGAAUAAACUAAAAUAUAUAAACUGCUUAACAUAUGGAAUAGGUUUAAUUGAUGGCAAUUCCUACUAUUUAUAAAUAAAUAGCAAAUAAAUUUGAAAAAUGAUACUAAGAUUAUGUUGGGAAAUAUCUAAGUACUGAAGCGGAUUAUCAUGAGUGUAGAUGACAGAAACAAAUUGGAUUAGAGAUAUAUUUUUACUCAGAUGCUUAUGAUUUUUAAAAUUUUCCUAUUUACAUAUUCUUUGCAGUAAGUAAUCUUAGGUAUUAAUUACACACAGUUUUAAUUGGCAUAAGCUUAUAAAUUCUCAUUAUCUCAUAAUGAUGAAAAAAGAUAAAAGAGUGUCUGGUCUUGAUAAUGUACGAAUAAUGAGAAAUAUUGUGUACCUUGUUUUACUAAGCAUCAGUUAUUUUUCUGAUGAAUGGAAUUUUAGAUGUCUUAACUAGCUGUUGCCUAAUGCCAUUUACCACCUCUUUUUUGUUUUGUUUUUUAGACAUUACUAGUCUUACAUAAUCUAGAAGCAAAAAACAACAGUGAAAGUUUACCUGUUUUACAUAUUAAGACACUUUCCCAUUCAGUUAUCAUUUGAUUCUCAGAAGCCCCAAGAAAGGAAUGAAGAACCGGUAUGUGGUUUAAUAGUUUGUAGGGAGGUGGCUAAACAACACUUUCCUUCUUACUCCUAAUCUAAUGCUUCUUUUAUAACAUACACACUUAUUUAGAACAUGU
Molecule: long non-coding RNA, 4759 nt
Filed under: Sus scrofa (pig)
Lineage: Eukaryota; Metazoa; Chordata; Mammalia; Artiodactyla; Suidae
Description: lncRNA (ENSSSCG00065059619.1)
Source: RNAcentral